This 72-nucleotide transfer RNA is filed under the name Capra hircus (goat). It matches the Rfam family "tRNA". From Rfam's summary of the family: Transfer RNA (tRNA) molecules are approximately 80 nucleotides in length. Their secondary structure includes four short double-helical elements and three loops (D, anti-codon, and T loops). RNAcentral also lists the same sequence under 1 other name. The record is from Rfam by way of RNAcentral. Lineage: Eukaryota; Metazoa; Chordata; Mammalia; Artiodactyla; Bovidae.
UCCCUGGUGGCUCAGAGGGUAAAGCAUCUGCCUACAAUGCAGGAGACCCAGGUUCAAUCCCUGGGUUGGGAA